RNAcentral lists this ribosomal RNA (220 nucleotides) under uncultured bacterium. Its description in RNAcentral is "partial 16S ribosomal RNA". It matches the Rfam family "Bacterial small subunit ribosomal RNA", at positions 125 to 334 of the family's 1533-position model. The record is from RNAcentral.
CCGUAGCCUGGUAGCGGGGGAUAACUAAUUGGAAACGAAUAGCUAAUACCGCAUAAUAUUAAUUAAUUUGCAUGAUAAUUGAUUGAAAGAUGCAACUGCAUCACUACCAGAUGGACCUGCGUUGUAUUAGCUAGUAGGUGAGGUAACGGCUCACCUAGGCGACGAUACAUAGCCGACCUGAGAGGGUGAUCGGCCACACUGGGACUGAGACACGGCCCAG